ACAAUGGAGGCAACUCUGAUCCAGCCAUGCCGCGUGAAGGAAUAAGGCCCUAUGGGUUGUAAACUUCUUUUAGACGGGACAAAACCCCUUUACGUGUAAAGGGUUGAUGGUACUGUCAGAAUAAGCAUCGGCUAACUUCGUGCCAGCAGCCGCGGUAAUACGAAGGAUGCAAGCGUUAUCCGGACUUAUUGGGUUUAAAGGGUGCGUAGGCGGACUAAUAAGUCAUUGGUGAAAGCCUGCAGCUUAACUGCAGAAUUGCCAUUGAUACUGUUAGGCUUGAGUACAGUUGA
RNAcentral lists this ribosomal RNA (290 nucleotides) under uncultured bacterium. Its description in RNAcentral is "partial 16S ribosomal RNA". It matches the Rfam family "Bacterial small subunit ribosomal RNA", at positions 368 to 655 of the family's 1533-position model. The record is from RNAcentral.